CUAAGUGGUAAAGGACUUGUGGGUUUCAUAUACUACCAGGAUGUUGGCUCAGAAGCAGCCACCAUUUAAAGAGUGCGUAAUAGCUCACUGGUCGAGAGACCCUGCGCCGAAGAUUCCCGGGGCUAAAGUACGAAACCGAAGCUGUGGCUGUAUACGUAAAGUAUACGGGGUAGGGGAGCGUUCCCAUAGGGUAGAAGUCGAACUGGAAGGUUCGGUGGACUUGUGGGAAGUGAGAAUGUUGGUAUGAGUAGCGAAAAGAAAGGUGAGAAUCCUUUCCACCGAAAGCAUAAGGAUUCCUGAGCAACGAUCGUCGUCUCAGGGUAAGUCGGGACCUAAUCCGAGGCAGAGAGCGUAGGAGAUGGACAACUGGUUGAUAUUCCAGUACCGGUAGUAAUUGUUUGAGCAAUGGAGUGACACAGAAGGGCAGGCAAGCAUGCGAAUGGAAGAGCAUGUGUAAGCGUGUAGGGUGGUGCAUAGGCAAAUCCGUGCACUGAAAGCCUGAGGCGUGAUGCGGAGUGAGCAGAGAUGCGAGCGAAGUUGUUGACCCCACACUGUCGAGAAAAGCUUCUAGUGAGAGAGCUACCGCCCGUACCGUAAACCGACACAGGUAUGCGGGGAGAGAAUCCUAAGGUGCGCGGGAGAACCCUCGUUAAGGAACUCGGCAAAAUGUACCCGUAACUUCGGGAUAAGGGUAGCCACUGUUGUGAAGUCCCAUGCGGAUGGAGCAUAGAGUGGUCGCAGAGAAGAGGCCCAAGCGACUGUUUACCAUAAACACAGGUGCCUGCUAAAGCGAAAGCUGACGUAUAGGUGCUGACACCUGCCCAGUGCCGGAAGGUUAAGGAAGGAUGUUCGGAUUAGUCCAAAGCAUUCGACUGAAGCCCCGGUGAACGGCGGCCGUAACUAUAACGGUCCUAAGGUAGCGAAAUUCCUUGUCGGGUAAGUUCCGACCCGCACGAAAGGUGUAACGAUUUGGGCACUGUCUCAACGAGGGACCCGGUGAAAUUGAAAUACCUGUGAAGAUGCAGGUUACCCGCGACUGGACAGAAAGACCCCAUGGAGCUUUACUGUAACCUGACAUUGGGUUUUGAUACAUUACGUACAGGAUAGGUGGGAGGCUUGGAAAGCUGGACGCUAGUCUGGCUGGAGCCGACGUUGGGAUACCACCCUUGAUGUAUUGAAAUUCUAACCGCGAGAGUAACGAAAUCCGGGACAGUGUCAGGCGGGCAGUUUGACUGGGGCGGUCGCCUCCGAAAGAGUAACGGAGGCGCCCAAAGGUUCCCUCAGCGCGGCCGGAAAUCGCGCGAAGAGUGUAAAGGCAGAAGGGAGCUUGACUGCGAGUCAAACACGACGAGCAGGUACGAAAGUAGGGCUUAGUGAUCCGGUGGUACCGAGUGGAAGGGCCAUCGCUCAACGGAUAAAAGCUACCCUGGGGAUAACAGGCUAAUCUCUCCCAAGAGUCCAUAUCGACGGGGAGGUUUGGCACCUCGAUGUCGGCUCAUCACAUCCUGGGGCUGAAGUCGGUCCCAAGGGUUGGGCUGUUCGCCCAUUAAAGUGGUACGUGAGCUGGGUUCAGAACGUCGUGAGACAGUUCGGUCCCUAUCCAUCGCGGGCGCAAGAGAUUUGAAGGGGGCUGCUCCUAGUACGAGAGGACCGGAGUGGACGAACCGCUGGUGUACCAAUUAUCCCGCCAGGGGUACAGUUGGGUAGCUACGUUCGGAAAGGAUAAACGCUGAAAGCAUCUAAGCGUGAAACCAGCCUUAAGAUGAGAUCUCU
This 1773-nucleotide ribosomal RNA is filed under the name human gut metagenome. RNAcentral's name for it is "bacterial LSU rRNA". It matches the Rfam family "Bacterial large subunit ribosomal RNA", at positions 1059 to 2814 of the family's 2925-position model. The record is from RNAcentral.